CGGGUAGCUGGUCUGAGAGGACGACCAGCCACACUGGAACUGAGACACGGUCCAGACGCCUACGGGUGGCAGCAGUCGAGAAUUUUUCUCAAUGGGGGCAACCCUGAAGGAGCGACGCCGCGUGGAGGAUGAAGGUCUUCGGAUUGUAAACUCCUGUCAUUUGGGAACAAAUACCUGAUUUAACUGAUUAGGAACUGAUAGUACCAGAAGAGGAAGAGACGGCUAACUCUGUGCCAGCAGCCGCGGUAAUACAGAGGUCUCAACCGUUGUUCGGAUUCAUUGGGCGUAAAGGGUGCGUAGGCGGUCGCGCAAGUCGGAUGUGAAAUCUUAGGGCUCAACCCUGAAACUGCAUUCGAUACUGCGUGGCUCGAGUACUGGAGAGGAGACUGGAAUUUACGGUGUAGCAGUGAAAUGCGUAGAUAUCGUAAGGAAGACCAGUGGCGAAGGCGAGUCUCUGGACAGUUACUGACGCUGAGGCACGAAGGCCAGGGGAGCAAACGGGAUUAGAUACCCCGGUAGUCCUGGCAGUAAACGGUGUACGUUUGGUGUAGGCGGAUUCGACCCCGCCUGUGCCGGAGCUAACGCGUUAAACGUACCGCCUGGGAAGUACGGUCGCAAGAUUAAAACUCAAAGAAAUUGACGGGGGCCCGCACAAGCGGUGGAGUAUGUGGCUUAAUUCGAUGCUACGCGAAGAACCUUACCAGGGUUUGACAUGUAUCUCUAAGUCGGUGAAAGCUGGCGAGUUGUAGCAAUACAACAAUUUACACAGGUGCUGCAUGGCUGUCGUCAGCUCGUGUCGUGAGAUGUUGGGUUAAGUCCCGCAACGAGCGCAACCCUUACGUCCUGUUGCCACUCCUUUAUUGGAAGCACUCUGGACAGACUGCCCUGUGAAACGGGGAGGAAGGUGAGGAUGACGUCAAGUCAGCAUGGCCCUUACACCCUGGGCUGCACACGUACUACAAUGCUCAGUACAAUAUGAGCCGAAACCGCGAGGUGGAGGAAAUCGAUAAAACUGAGCCCAAUUCGGAUCGCAGGCUGCAACUCGCCUGCGUGAAGCCGGAAUCGCUAGUAAUGCCGUAUCAGCUACGACGGCGUGAAUACGUUCCCGGGCCUUGUACACACCGCCCGUCACAUCAUGGGAGUCGUUUGCACCCGAAGUACACCACUGGUGUCCUACGGUAUGAGCGGUAACUGGGAUGAAGUCGUAACAAGGUA
Molecule: ribosomal RNA, 1215 nt
Filed under: metagenome
Description: bacterial SSU rRNA
Rfam family: Bacterial small subunit ribosomal RNA
Source: RNAcentral